UUUCCGUAGGUGAACCAGCGGAGGGAUCAUUACAGAGUUGCAAAACUCCCAAACCAUUGUGAACGUUACCUAUCCCGUUGCUUCGGCGGGCGGCCCGGGCCCCGCGCCCGGCGCCCCCCGGCCCCCCGUGGGCGCCCGCCGGAGGUAAACCAAACCCACGAAUUGCAUGGCCUCUCUGAGUCUUCUGUACUGAAUAAGUCAAAACUUUCAACAACGGAUCUCUUGGUUCUG
Molecule: unclassified non-coding RNA, 231 nt
Filed under: plant metagenome
Description: partial contains small subunit ribosomal RNA, internal transcribed spacer 1, and 5.8S ribosomal RNA
Source: RNAcentral